This 128-nucleotide ribosomal RNA is filed under the name Archaeosporales sp. Its description in RNAcentral is "partial large subunit ribosomal RNA". It matches the Rfam family "Eukaryotic large subunit ribosomal RNA", at positions 99 to 224 of the family's 3401-position model. The record is from RNAcentral. Lineage: Eukaryota; Fungi; Glomeromycota; Glomeromycetes; Archaeosporales.
CGGCAACAGCUCAAAUUUAAAAUCUGGCCUCUUCGGGGCCCGAGUUGUAAUUUGAAGAAGCGUUUAUCACGUUUUCGUUCGGGUUCAAGUUUCUUGGAAUAGGACAUCAGAGAGGGUGAGAAUCCCGU